GUGCCAGCAGCCGCGGUAAUACAGAGGUGGCAAGCGUUGUUCGGAUUUAUUGGGCGUAAAGGGUUCGUAGGCGGACCGGAAAGUCAGAUGUGAAAUCCCACAGCUCAACUGUGGAACUGCAUUUGAAACUUCCGGACUAGAGUGUGAGAGGGGUAAAGGGAAUUCCCGGUGUAAGGGUGAAAUCUGCAGAGAUCGGGAGGAACACCAGUCGCGAAGGCGCUUUACUGGCUCACUACUGACGCUCAGGAACGAAAGCUAGGGUAGCAAACGGGAUUAGAAACCCGGGUAGUCC
This 292-nucleotide ribosomal RNA is filed under the name uncultured bacterium. RNAcentral's name for it is "partial 16S ribosomal RNA". It matches the Rfam family "Bacterial small subunit ribosomal RNA", at positions 505 to 796 of the family's 1533-position model. The record is from RNAcentral.